GAAAUAUUCUUGGUGAAGCAAAACCUCUGCAUCAGCUCCUUUGAUGAUACACAAGUGAGUGAGAAACGCAAAUAUCCUGGCAACUGGACCUGCAGAUCAGGACUGAGGAAAGGAAACGCCUCUCUUCCGUUUCCCUGAACCUCAGCAGAUCACAGCAGGGCCACAGGGAAACUCCGACCGCCUGGAGCCUUCCCCCCUCGCCACUGCUGCCACCACUGCUGCCUUGAGCCUUAGCCCCCCUCCCCGACAAGGGGCCUUCUCUCCUGAGGCGGAGGAGGAAUGGAUGGCCUGUGCAUCGUCUCAGCCCCUUCCCUGCCGAACGCCCACUUGGGCCCCUUGCCUUGUGGCAGCAGAAAGCNGCACGGUGUUGGAAAGCACAGGCUGCCACGCUACGAGCUGAGGAGGGCAUUUCAAGGGGACAGGAGCCCUGAGGUGCUGAUGGAAGUUUAAAGCACGCCGGCCUCUUCAGCGACGCGACGCUUCGGCAGCCCGGGCUCCCCUUCGCCG
RNAcentral lists this long non-coding RNA (507 nucleotides) under Salvator merianae (Argentine black and white tegu). RNAcentral's name for it is "lncRNA (ENSSMRG00000021555.1)". Lineage: Eukaryota; Metazoa; Chordata; Lepidosauria; Squamata; Teiidae. The record is from RNAcentral.